UACGUAGGGCGCAAGCGUUGUCCGGAAUUAUUGGGCGUAAAGAGCUCGUAGGCGGCUUGUCACGUCGGGUGUGAAAGCCCGGGGCUUAACCCCGGGUCUGCAUUCGAUACGGGCUAGCUAGAGUGUGGUAGGGGAGAUCGGAAUUCCUGGUGUAGCGGUGAAAUGCGCAGAUAUCAGGAGGAACACCGGUGGCGAAGGCGGAUCUCUGGAACGCAACUGACGCUGAGACGCGAAAGCGUGGGGAGCAAACAGG
RNAcentral lists this ribosomal RNA (253 nucleotides) under uncultured bacterium. RNAcentral's name for it is "partial 16S ribosomal RNA". It matches the Rfam family "Bacterial small subunit ribosomal RNA", at positions 524 to 776 of the family's 1533-position model. The record is from RNAcentral.